This 776-nucleotide ribosomal RNA is filed under the name uncultured Neocallimastigales. Its description in RNAcentral is "partial large subunit ribosomal RNA". It matches the Rfam family "Eukaryotic large subunit ribosomal RNA", at positions 22 to 639 of the family's 3401-position model. Lineage: Eukaryota; Fungi; Neocallimastigomycota; Neocallimastigomycetes; Neocallimastigales. The record is from RNAcentral.
GGUACACGCUGUGACUAGCAUAUCAAUAAGCGGAGGAAAAGAAACUAACAAGGAUUCCCCUAGUAACGGCGAGUGAAGCGGGAAGAGCUCAAAUUUGAAAUCUUAAAGGGUUUCCCUUUACGAAUUGUAGUUUAAAGAAGUGUUUUCUGUUGAGGUUUUGGUAAAAGUUCUUCGGAAUAGGACAUCAUAGAGGGUGAGAAUCCCGUAUUUGACCUUUACUUUCAACUUUGUGAUACACUUUCAAAGAGUCGGAUUGUUUGGGAAUGCAGUCCAAAAUGGGUGAGUAAAUUUCAUCUAAAGCUAAAUAUUGGCGAGAGACCGAUAGCGAACAAGUACCGUGAGGGAAAGAUGAAAAGAACUUUGAAAAGAGAGUUAAACAGUACGUGAAAUUGUCAAAAGGGAAGCGUUUGACACCAGUGUUGUUUUUCUGUAAAUCAAUUAAAGAACUGUUUAUGCUAAGCUGUUUAGACUUUAUCAGCUAUCUGUUUAGUUUUGAGCUUUUCUUUAAUGCACUUUUCAGUUAACAAGUCAACAUCAAUUUCUUUUGCUGUAAAAAAGCUUGAGGAAGGUGGCUUGAGAUUCGUCUUAAGUGUUUAUAGCCUCUUGCCUAUGCAGUCGGAGAGAUUGAGGUCUGCAGCGUAGAUCCUUCGGGGCUAAAUGCAUUUGUGCUAAGUUAUAGCAUUUCAUAGACAACUUGUUGACUAUGAUUUGUCUUGUAGCUUACUCGCUUAUGUUAUUUUACCUACGCUUAGGAUGUUGACGCGCGUGUGUGCGUG